This 209-nucleotide unclassified non-coding RNA is filed under the name Hevea brasiliensis (rubber tree). Lineage: Eukaryota; Viridiplantae; Streptophyta; Magnoliopsida; Malpighiales; Euphorbiaceae. The record is from RNAcentral.
AGUUCAAGGAGGUUUUUAUGGAAUUUCUCGCAUGUCCUUUCACAAAAACCUUGGUAUUUUAUGUUUACAAGCUCUGAUGAACCUGUUGGCCAUGCCUAUGAUCCAAUCCUCAGAAAGUGGUAUGGCAUCGAUCUCCCCUGCAUUGGGACAUCCAGUUGGUUUGUUACUUCAUCUCAUGGUUUAGUUUGCUUCAUGGAUAACGACAGCCA